This 523-nucleotide ribosomal RNA is filed under the name uncultured bacterium. Its description in RNAcentral is "partial 16S ribosomal RNA". It matches the Rfam family "Bacterial small subunit ribosomal RNA", at positions 28 to 523 of the family's 1533-position model. The record is from RNAcentral.
GACGAACGCUGGCGGCGUGCCUAAUACAUGCAAGUCGAACGCUUUUUCUUUCACCGGAGCUUGCUCCACCGAAAGAAAAAGAGUGGCGAACGGGUGAGUAACGCGUGGGUAACCUGCCCAUCAGAAGGGGAUAACACUUGGAAACAGGUGCUAAUACCGUAUAACACUAUUUUCCGCAUGGAAGAAAGUUGAAAGGCGCUUUUGCGUCACUGAUGGAUGGACCCGCGGUGCAUUAGCUAGUUGGUGAGGUAACGGCUCACCAAGGCAACGAUGCAUAGCCGACCGGAGAGGGUGAUCGGCCACACGGGGACUGAGACACGGCCCAGAAUCCUGCGGGAGGGAGCAGUAGGGAAACUUCGGCAAUGGACGAAAGUCUGACCGAGCAACGCCGCGUGAGUGAAGAAGGUUUUCGGAUCGUAAAACUCUGUUGUUAGAGAAGAACAAGGAUGAGAGUAGAACGUUCAUCCCUUGACGGUAUCUAACCAGAAAGCCACGGCUAACUACGUGCCAGCCGCCGCAGUAA